UGCAGACAGCUGGGCCAAGGCCAGUGGGGCAGGAUACUCUUCUCUGCCCUUGGAAUGUGGUCAAGGAACUGGAACUGUUCUAUUUGCAAGCUGCCAGUGGGGGCCAUGUGCUGGUUUUGGUGUGAAUUGUGCUAAAUGCUGUCGGGCGACUAAACCUGACUUAACACCCUGAGAGUGAGGCCAGGACUUGGCAGAGAAGCUGCUAAACUGACCUGGAGAUACAGGACUGGCAGGGAACCCCUUGAAGACAAAUCAAUUCAGCCAAAACUGGGCUCUGAGGGCACCUGAGUGGUUGGAGUAGCCUGAGGAUUAUCUUGGUUUCCAUCAAGACCUCACCAUAAUAGGACAUUUUGCUGGAAGUGACAACUUGCAGUGGUUUAUUUGUGCUUCAAGAUUUUGAUACCAGACAAAUUCUUCUGUGACACCCCAAAUCCCCAAUCAUCUGGAAAAUUAAGAAGAAUGCAAAGCUGCAGAUAAAUGGAAAUUCCUUUUCCCCUUCCCUCAUGCCCAGCUAAGUUUCAAACCCAGCUGAAAAAUUCUGGGUUCCAUGGUGAGCAGAGCCAGCUCUGGUUACCUCUGAGCCUUUUCUUGUAUCACUGCACAGCUGCAGGAACUUUAGGGGGAGUCCUUUAGGGAGGAUGAGUGAGAAACAAAUCCACUUUGGGUAGGAAUGUCCCAGUGCUGAGAUACAAUUCUACCAAAGCUCCAACCACAGAACCUUUAAAAUUAUCUUUAACUCUGUCUUUUGAACAGAGAAAAUAAAUUAAAGGGCGUGCAUGGGAGAGACAAAUCACAGAGAUAAGGAUCAUAUAU
Passer domesticus (house sparrow) is the source of this 813-nucleotide long non-coding RNA. RefSeq lists it as uncharacterized. NCBI's taxonomy places the organism in Eukaryota, Metazoa, Chordata, Aves, Passeriformes, Passeridae. The record is from RefSeq and is a predicted model, not a curated record. The transcript has 3 exons.